CAGUAGCCACGGGAAAACGUAUGUCCCGAGCGUUAUCCGGAUUUAUUGGGCGUAGAGCGAGCGCAGACGGUUAAUUAAGUCUGAUGUGAAAGCCCGGAGCUCAACUCCGGAAUGGCAUUGGAAACUGGUUAACUUGAGUGCAGUAGAGGUAGUGGAACUCCAUGUGUAGCGGUGGAAUGCGUAGAUAUAUGGAAGAACACCAGUGGCGAAGGCGGCUUACUGGACUGUAACUGACGUUGAGGCUCGAAAGUGUGGGUAGCAAACAGGAUUAGAUACCCCAGUAGUCCCUGUCUCUUAUACU
RNAcentral lists this ribosomal RNA (301 nucleotides) under uncultured bacterium. RNAcentral describes it as "partial 16S ribosomal RNA". It matches the Rfam family "Bacterial small subunit ribosomal RNA", at positions 509 to 810 of the family's 1533-position model. The record is from RNAcentral.